Molecule: microRNA, 25 nt
Filed under: Xenopus laevis (African clawed frog)
Lineage: Eukaryota; Metazoa; Chordata; Amphibia; Anura; Pipidae
Also listed under: 1 other name
Description: Xla-Mir-430-o9_3p (mature (guide))
Source: RNAcentral
GAAAAGUGCUUUCUUGUUUGGGCCA